Aedes albopictus (Asian tiger mosquito) is the source of this 74-nucleotide non-coding RNA. The record is from Rfam. Lineage: Eukaryota; Metazoa; Arthropoda; Insecta; Diptera; Culicidae.
UGUUCUGUGGCUUAGUUGGUUAAAGCGACGGUCUAGCAAACACGGAGUCGUGGGUUCGAAUCCCAUCAGAUCGC